CCUACGGGAGGCAGCAGUCGAGAAUCAUUCACAAUGUGGGAAACCCUGAUGGUGCGACGCCGCGUGGGGGAAUGAAGGUCUUCGGAUUGUAAACCCCUGUCAUGUGGGAGCAAAUUAAAAAGAUAGUACCACAAGAGGAAGAGACGGCUAACUCUGUGCCAGCAGCCGCGGGAAUACAGAGGUCUCAAGCGUUGUUCGGAAUCACUGGGCGUAAAGCGUGCGUAGGCUGUUUCGUAAGUCGUGUGUGAAAGGCGCGGGCUCAACCCGCGGACGGCACAUGAUACUGCGAGACUAGAAUAAUGGAGGGGGAACCGGAAUUCUCGGUGUAGCAGUGAAAUGCGUAGAUAUCGAGAGGAACACUCGUGGCGAAGGCGGGUUCCUGGACAUUAACUGACGCUGAGGCACGAAGGCCAGGGGAGCGAAAGGGAUUAGAUACCCCAGUAGUC
This 446-nucleotide ribosomal RNA is filed under the name uncultured bacterium. RNAcentral's name for it is "partial 16S ribosomal RNA". It matches the Rfam family "Bacterial small subunit ribosomal RNA", at positions 338 to 795 of the family's 1533-position model. The record is from RNAcentral.